RNAcentral lists this ribosomal RNA (3638 nucleotides) under Cymus koreanus. RNAcentral describes it as "eukaryotic LSU rRNA". The stretch from base 408 to 3638 matches the Rfam family "Eukaryotic large subunit ribosomal RNA". Lineage: Eukaryota; Metazoa; Arthropoda; Insecta; Hemiptera; Cymidae. The record is from RNAcentral.
CCGCUCAGGGGUAAACGGAAAAGACCCGAAACACCGAAAAGGGAGACUCACGUCUUGUCGCGGGCUCCGGCCUUUGGCAGGGGGAUGGCCUCACGCCCCGCUCGGCUCGUCCGUGGCGGUGGGUAGGCUGCCCUCUUCCGGGUGUCCGGGCCCGCGGGAGACCGCACUUCUCCCCCAGUAGGACGUCGCGACCCGCUCUGCGGCGGUCUAACGGCCGGUAGAAAGCCUGGCCGGGGCGGUCCCCUCGCGGGUCCGUUCCCGGCCAGAUCUCCGGUUCGCGACCGCCGGACAGGGGCGGUAUGAACGAUCUCGGCGAUGGGCCGCUCCGACAGAGAGCGCCCGGUCCCCCCGCAAGCCCGGGUCGGGAGUCUGGCCGUACUCCCUCGCGGGUACGCCAGGCUUCCGCUCGAACUGUUGGCGGGCGGGUACUCGGGCAGCAGUCCAUUCCGCCAGUCGGCGGCGCUUCAGAUUCGGGAACUUAUCCGACCCGUCUUGAAACACGGACCAAGGAGUCUAGCGUGUGCGCGAGUCAUUGGGUGACAAAACCUAAAGGCGCAAUGAAAGUGUCUCUUUUGGGAGGAUGGGCGUCCCGGCCCCCCAGGCCGGUGCCCCGCACUCCCGGGGCGUCACGAUCUCGUUUCGAGCCGAGACGCACCGAGAGCGCACACGCUGUUACCCGAAAGAUGGUGAACUAUGCUUGGCCAGGACGAAGCCAGGGGAAACCCUGGUGGAGGUCCGAAGCGAUUCUGACGUGCAAAUCGAUCGUCUGAGCUGAGUAUAGGGGCGAAAGACUAAUCGAACCAUCUAGUAGCUGGUUCCCUCUGAAGUUUCCCUCAGGAUAGCUGGCUCUCAGGAAGAGACGAGUCUCAUCCGGUAGAGCGAAUGAUUAGAGGUGAUGGGGUCGAAACGACUUCAACCUAUUCUCAAACUCCCAAUAGAUGAGAGCCCCGGCUUGCUUGAAAGUGAAGCCGCGGGACUACGGAUCGGAGAUGCCAAGUGGGCCAAUUUUGGUAAGCAGAACUGGUGCUGUGGGAUGAACCAAACGCGGAGUUAAGGCGCCUGAUUCGACGCUCAUCCGAAACCAUGAAAGGCGUUGGUUGCUCAAGACAGCAGGACGGUUGCCCUGGAAGUCGGAAUCCGCUAAGGAGUGUGUAACAACUCACCUGCCGAAGCAACUAGCCCUGAAAAUGGAUGGCGCUGUAGCGUCGUGCCUAUACUCCGCCGUCAACGGCAAAGCGGGCGGCCCGCAAGGGCGUCGCCGUUAAGCCAUGACGAGUAAGAGGGUCGCGGCGGUGUGCGCGGAAGGGUCUGGGCGUGAGCCCGCCUGGAGCCGCCGCCGGUGCAGAUCUUGGUGGUAGUAGCAAAUACUCCAGCGAGGCCCUGGAGGACUGAUGUGGAGAAGGGUUUCUUGUGAACAGCUGUUGCACAAGAGUCAGUCGAUCCUAAGCCCUAGGGGAAACCCGAAGCGAUGGCAUGCCGUUAACUCUCUAUGUGAACGCAGGGCGGCUUGCGGCGGCGGGCUAGAGCCCACCGUCCGCAAGCCGCCGUUGCUUCUUAAUAUGAGCCGGCACCGUCUGGGCGAAAGGGAAUCUGGUUCCUAUUCCAGAACCCGGCAGCGGAACCGUACCAAUUCGGGCCCUCAUCCGAGGACUCGUCGGGGCAACCCAAAAUGACCCGGAGAAGCCGUAGGGAGGUCCGGGGAGAGUUGUCUCUUCUCUAUAAGCGUUCGAGUUCCCUGGAAUCCUCUAGGAGGGAGAUAGGGUUUGGAACGCGAAGAGCACCGCACUUACGGCGGUGUCCGGAUCUUCCCCUCGGACCUUGAAAAUCCGGGCGAGGGCCACGAGGAACGCCGCGCCGGCUCGUACCCAUAUCCGCAGCAGGUCUCCAAGGUGAAUAGCCUCUAGUCAAUAGAAUAAUGUGGGUAAGGGAAGUCGGCAAACCCGAUCUGUAACUUCGGGAUAAGGAUUGGCUCUGAGGAUCGUGGCGCGCCGGGCUUGGUCGGGAAGUGGAGCGGUGCCAACGUGCCGGGCCUGGGCGAGGAUAAGGGCGGCCUCGCGUCGCCUGGACCCUAGCUCGGUCCCGUGCCUUGGCCAACCCACGGAUCUUCCUUGCUGCGAGCCUCCGGGUGUCUAGUCGCCUGUUACCAGCAGGUGGACGGCCCGGAUGGCUCUUCGGCCGCCAUAGAACGAUCGACUUAGAACUGGCACGGACUAGGGGAAUCCGACUGUCUAAUUAAAACAAAGCAUUGCGAUGGCCCCAAGGGGUGAUGACGCAAUGUGAUUUCUGCCCAGUGCUCUGAAUGUCAACGUGAAGAAAUUCAAGCAAGCGCGGGUAAACGGCGGGAGUAACUAUGACUCUCUUAAGGUAGCCAAAUGCCUCGUCAUCUAAUUAGUGACGCGCAUGAAUGGAUUAACGAGAUUCCCUCUGUCCCUACCUACUAUCUAGCGAAACCACUGCCAAGGGAACGGGCUUGGAAAAAUCAGCGGGGAAAGAAGACCCUUUUGAGCUUGACUCUAGUCUGGUACUGUAAGGAGACAUGAGAGGUGUAGCAUAAGUGGGAGGCGGCGAACGUCGUCCGACAGUGAAAUACCACUACUUUCAUAGUUUCCUUACUUACUUGGUGAGGCGGAGGGCGUCCGUCGGUGUGUCUGCACUCCGGCGUGACGGUAUUCUCGCGCCAAGCGCCAAGGGUUGUCGGCGGCUUGACCGGACGCGGUGAGGCCCGCCGGCCGGUCCGCUUUCGGGCGGUGCCGACGGUCGGUGUCGUCGCCGCGGCUUAGGUCGCUCCGUUCCGGCAACAAGUUCCCUAGCGUGAUCCGAUCCAAGGACACUACCAGGCCGGGAGUUCGUCUGGGGCGGAACAUCUGUCAAAUAAUAACGCAGGUGUCCUAUGGUCAGCUCAGCGAGGACAGAAACCUCGCGUAGAGCAAAAGGGCAAAUGCUGGCUUGAUCCCGAUGCUCAGUGCGCAUAGGGACUGCGAAAGCACGGCCCAUCGAUCCUUUUGGCUUGAAGAGUUUUCAGCAAGAGGUGUCAGAAAAGUUACCAGAGGGAUAACUGGCUUGUGGCGGCCAAGCGUUCAUAGCGACGUCGUCGUUUGAUCCUUCGAUGUCGGCUCUUCCUACCAUUGCGAAGCAGAAUUCGCCAAGCGUCGGAUUGUUCACCCGCUAAUAGGGAACGUGAGCUGGGUUUAGACCGUCGUGAGACAGGUUAGUUUUACCCUACUGAUGAGUCGCCUUGCUAUAGUAAUCCUGCUUAGUACGAGAGGAACCGCAGGUUCGGACAAUUGGUACACGCACUCGGUUGACCCGCCGCUGGUGCGACGCUACCAUCCGAGGGAUUAGGCCUGAACGCCUCUAAGACCGAAUCCCGACUAAUAGCAACGAUAUAACUACGGGACCCGUGAGUCGGAAGGCUCAAUGCAAUGUGCCUCUACUAGGCGGCCGGUUACGCGCCGGCCGUCGCUCGGGCCUGCUGGCCGGGGCGCCCUCGUGCGGGAUGCCGUCGGUACAUUCCGAUCGGUACCCCCGGUGCUCCGGCGUAUCAUGGUUCGUCCCCCUUCACGGGGGGAGUCCGAUGUCGGGACCCUGGAUCGUCUGUAGACGACUUCUCCAACGGGCAGGGUGCUGUACUCGGGAGA